RNAcentral lists this ribosomal RNA (429 nucleotides) under uncultured bacterium. RNAcentral's name for it is "bacterial SSU rRNA". It matches the Rfam family "Bacterial small subunit ribosomal RNA", at positions 355 to 776 of the family's 1533-position model. The record is from RNAcentral.
UGGGGAAUCUUGCACAAUGGGCGAAAGCCUGAUGCAGCGACGCCGCGUGGAGGAUGAAGGUCUUCGGAUUGUAAACUCCUGUUAAGUGGGAAGAAAGACACUAACCUAAUACGUUAGUGGGAUGACGGUACCACUAGAGAAAGCACCGGCAAACUUCGUGCCAGCAGCCGCGGUAAUACGAAGGGUGCUAGCGUUAUUCGGAAUCACUGGGCGUAAAGAGCGUGUAGGCGGCUUGUUAAGUCAACUGUUAAAGCACCCAGCUUAACUGGGUAAAGGCAGGUGAAACUGGCGAGCUGGAGUACGGAAGAGAGAAGUGGAAUUGUCGGAGUAGCGGUAAAAUGCGUAGAUCUCGACAGGAACACCGGUUGCGAAGGCGGCUUCUUGGUCCGCUACUGACGCUAAAGCGCGAAAGCGUGGGGAGCAAACAGG